This 198-nucleotide unclassified non-coding RNA is filed under the name uncultured Mycena. RNAcentral's name for it is "sequence contains ITS2". The record is from RNAcentral. Lineage: Eukaryota; Fungi; Basidiomycota; Agaricomycetes; Agaricales; Tricholomataceae.
AAUUCUCAACUAAACAAUGGUUUAUUCUAUCGUUUAGCUUGGAUCUGAGGGUUUUGUCGGUCCCUAGCUGGUCGACUCCCUUUAAAAGCAUUAGCGGAUUUUUCCAUCGUGGAUACGCCUCGAUUUGAUAAUAUCUAUGUCGUCGCGCUGAAGCGGUAAUCUGCUCAUAACCGUCCUUUGCUGGACAAUUUAUUGACU